UACUCCUACGGGAGGCAGCAGUGGGGAAUAUUGCGCAAUGGGGGGAACCCUGACGCAGCCAUGCCGCGUGAAUGAAGAAGGCCUUCGGGUUGUAAAGUUCUUUCGGUAUUGAGGAAGGUUGAUGUGUUAAUAGCACAUCAAAUUGACGUUAAAUACAGAAGAAGCACCGGCUAACUCCGUGCCAGCAGCCGCGGUAAUACGGAGGGUGCGAGCGUUAAUCGGAAUAACUGGGCGUAAAGGGCACGCAGGCGGUUAUUUAAGUGAGGUGUGAAAGCCCUGGGCUUAACCUAGGAAUUGCAUUUCAGACUGGGUAACUAGAGUACUUUAGGGAGGGGUAGAAUUCCACGUGUAGCGGUGAAAUGCGUAGAGAUGUGGAGGAAUACCGAAGGCGAAGGCAGCCCCUUGGGAAUGUACUGACGCUCAUGUGCGAAAGCGUGGGGAGCAAACAGGAUUAGAUACCCUGGUAGUCCACGCUGUAAACGCUGUCGAUUUGGGGGUUGGGGUUUAACUCUGGCGCCCGUAGCUAACGUGAUAAAUCGACCGCCUGGGGAGUACGGCCGCAAGGUUAAAACUCAAAGGAAUUGACGGA
This 589-nucleotide ribosomal RNA is filed under the name uncultured bacterium. RNAcentral's name for it is "bacterial SSU rRNA". It matches the Rfam family "Bacterial small subunit ribosomal RNA", at positions 334 to 917 of the family's 1533-position model. The record is from RNAcentral.